AUUGAACGCUGGCGGCAUGGCUAAAACAUGCAAGUCGAACGAGAAUCCGGGGGGCCGCAAGGCGGAGGACAGUGGCGGAAGGGUCAGUAAUGGGAUCGAAUGUACCCCGAGGUGGAGGAUAGCGUCGGGAAACUGACGGUAAUACUCCAUGUCCUCUACGGAGAAAAGAUUUAUCGCCUUGGGAGCAGCGAUCCUCCUAUCGAGGUAGGUUGGCGGGGUAAAAGCCCACCAAGCCGAAGGACGGGUAGCGGGUGUGAGAGCACGGCCGCGACAUCGAGACUGAGACACUGCUCGGACUCCUACGGGAGGCUGCAGUAACGAAUAUUCCGCAA
This 332-nucleotide ribosomal RNA is filed under the name uncultured bacterium. RNAcentral's name for it is "bacterial SSU rRNA". It matches the Rfam family "Bacterial small subunit ribosomal RNA", at positions 29 to 371 of the family's 1533-position model. The record is from RNAcentral.